Molecule: ribosomal RNA, 651 nt
Filed under: uncultured soil bacterium
Lineage: Bacteria
Description: bacterial SSU rRNA
Rfam family: Bacterial small subunit ribosomal RNA
Source: RNAcentral
GGCCUAACACAUGCAAGUCGCACGAGAAUCCGGCUUCGGCCCGGUAGUAAAGUGGCGGACGGGUGAGUAACACGUGGAUAAUCUGCCCUUCGGCGGGGGACAACAGUCCGAAAGGAUUGCUAAUACCGCAUACGUCUGCGAGGUCUUCGGACUUUGCAGGGAAAGAUGGCCUCUUCAUGAAAGCUAUCACCGAAGGAUGAGUCCGCGUCCCAUCAGCUAGUUGGCGGUGUAAGAGACCACCAAGGCUUAGACGGGUAGCUGGUCUGAGAGGAUGAUCAGCCACACUGGAACUGAGACACGGUCCAGACUCCUACGGGAGGCAGCAGUGGGGAAUAUUGGGCAAUGGGCGCAAGCCUGACCCAGCCAUGCCGCGUGAGUGAUGAAGGCCUUCGGGUCGUAAAGCUCUGUGGGGAGGGAAGAAACCGUGCAUGGCUAAUAUCCAUGCACCUUGACGGUACCUCCUUAGCAAGCACCGGCUAACUCCGUGCCAGCAGCCGCGGUAAUACGGAGGGUGCAAACGUUGCUCGGAAUCAUUGGGCGUAAAGCGCACGUAGGCGGCCUGUUAAGUCGGAUGUGAAAGCCCUCGGCUCAACCCGAGGAAGUGCAUACGAAACUGGCAGGCUUGAAUAUGGAAGAGGGUCGCGGAAUUCC